AACACAAAAGCAAUAAAUUGAAAUCAAAAAUCCUUUAGUUUGUUUAUAUAUAGUGCUUUUAAGGUAUUUUUUGAAAGUUGAAGAAAUUGAAAGAAAUGAAAAAUGGUGGCUCCGAUUGGACUUGAACCAACGGCCACUACCA
This 142-nucleotide antisense RNA is filed under the name Campylobacter coli. RNAcentral's name for it is "HPnc0260". It matches the Rfam family "Bacterial antisense RNA HPnc0260". The record is from RNAcentral. Lineage: Bacteria; Pseudomonadati; Campylobacterota; Epsilonproteobacteria; Campylobacterales; Campylobacteraceae.